CUCCAGACUCCUACGGGAGGCAGCAGUCGGGAAUAUUGCGCAAUGGAGGAAACUCUGACGCAGUGACGCCGCGUAUAGGAAGAAGGUUUUCGGAUUGUAAACUAUUGUCGUUAGGGAAGAUACAAGACAGUACCUAAGGAGGAAGCCACGGCUAACUACGUGCCAGCAGCCGCGGUAAUACGUAGGUGGCAAGCGUUGUCCGGAUUUACUGGGUGUAAAGGGCGUGCAGCCGGAGAGACAAGUCAGAUGUGAAAUCCGCAGGCUCAACCUGCGAACUGCAUUUGAAACUGUUUCCCUUGAGUAUCGGAGAGGUCAUCGGAAUUCCUAGUGUAGCGGUGAAAUGCGUAGAUAUUAGGAAGAACACCAGUGGCGAAGGCGGAUGACUGGACGACAACUGACGGUGAGGCGCGAAAGCGUGGGGAGCAAACAGGAUUAGAUACCCCAGUA
RNAcentral lists this ribosomal RNA (447 nucleotides) under uncultured bacterium. RNAcentral describes it as "bacterial SSU rRNA". It matches the Rfam family "Bacterial small subunit ribosomal RNA", at positions 329 to 792 of the family's 1533-position model. The record is from RNAcentral.